GCAAGUCGAGGGGCAGCAUUAGUACUUGUACUAGAUGGCGACCGGCGCACGGGUGCGUAACGCGUAUGCAACCUACCCACUACAGGGGGAUAGCUUCCGGAAACGGAAAUUAAUACCCCAUAACACAUAAAUGCCACAUGGUAUUAAUGUUAAAGAUUUAUCGGUAGUGGAUGGGCAUGCGUUAGAUUAGAUAGUUGGUGAGGUAACGGCUCACCAAGUCUACGAUCUAUAGGGGUUCUGAGAGGAUGAUC
Molecule: ribosomal RNA, 251 nt
Filed under: uncultured bacterium
Lineage: Bacteria
Description: partial 16S ribosomal RNA
Rfam family: Bacterial small subunit ribosomal RNA
Source: RNAcentral